Long non-coding RNA from Magallana angulata, 1486 nucleotides. RefSeq lists it as uncharacterized. The transcript has 2 exons. NCBI's taxonomy places the organism in Eukaryota, Metazoa, Mollusca, Bivalvia, Ostreida, Ostreidae. The record is from RefSeq and is a predicted model, not a curated record.
UUCUACUGUUUCUUAUUAUUAUUUUUUUUUUUUUCCCGCAAAUUUUGUGCACGAGAUUUCUCGAACAUUUUUUGUCUGAUUGCUAUGAAACUUUCAGGGUACGUAGAUGAUAUUAAUAUCUCUAGACGUUUUUUUCAAAUUUUUAAAAUUCACUUCCGGUUAUGAGUUAUUGCCCUUUAAUUGAAAAUUGGGGGGUCUUUUGUCCAGAGUUGAUCUCGGGAACUACAGAUGAUAGAUGCAUGAAAUUUGGCGAAAUUGUCGGUAACAUUUUAUAAUUUUGCUGGCAUGAAAAUUUUGGUAAUUUCUUUGUUAGUUUUUGAGCUAUUUGUCGCCAAAGUUUAAGAUUUUUUCGGGGCUGAAAUUUUGUUGCUUUUUGUAUUAUAACCUUUAAACUAAAAAUAUUUUGUUAAUACAUAUAGAACAAAAGUUGUUUAGAAUAACGAGAGCUUUCAUUUAAAAUUAAGAAAAAAGGGCUGGCCCCUAUAAUUAGGGGUCAGCAGCUCAUACACGUAUUUUUCUGAUAGCAAAAAUCGUUAUCAUUUUAUGAAAAAAAAUUAAUUUAGUUAUUGUUAAUAUAUUAAAUAAUGUCAUUUGGUAUCAAAUUAAACAAGUUCUGUCCUAUAUUUUUUUUCAAAUUUCAUAAAACAAAUAUGUGAGAAUCGUACAUGAACGAGUUAAUAUGUCUACAUAGACACACAAGCGAACAAAUGCCACAUUAAGGCCCAGGUAUUUACUGCAUUACGUUGUGUUGCGUCUUAGAUAAAUUGUUGUGAUUCAAUUUCAUUUUUUUCAUCUAUAUCAUUUAUGAAUUCAAUGAACACACAUUAUUUAAACGUUCUAUGUGCAACUAUUUGUCGGGGCGCCCCUGUUUGUGACCCCCGCGCGCGCGCGCCGAAUGUAAACAGUAACGAACGGCAUUGUAGAAAAGAGAGAGCCGUAAUGCAGAAGAGAAGUUGUGUAUUCUUUCGGUGUACACAUGCAUUUUCAAUUUGCUGUGAAACAUAUGAACAUGCACAGGGAACAAUACUACAUAUUUGUUUAAGGAGGAUAUUUUUCUCGUGUGAAUCGUUUACGAGGAAAUUCUGACAGCCACACUUCUGUCGACGAUCAGCCGUUGAUAAGCUACGAGUAAUAAAGGAGAAAAGAUGGACAUUAAAGUGUGUGAUUUAUGUGGAUGUUACUGAAGAAGCUCAAAACAGACUCUUGUUACCACAUGGCUUUUACCGGUACCUGUUGAUUCUUGUGGGUCAGCUCCUGAGAUUAACCUGUCAACUCUAUCCACAUGCAUAUUCCUUGUGUUCUACAGACUAUUUACUGGUAAUUCAAAUUAAAUCCGAUAAUGCAUGAACAAUAAUGGAACUUGAAGAAAGCAUCAUGCCAUGUUGUGGUUUGUGUUUGAUAAGAAAUUAUGAAAACAAAAUUAAGGCUGUUUAAAGAAAUUCAUAAUUGCUGUGAAAAUUUGGUUUUCAAUAAAAGUAUACAAUUA